RNAcentral lists this ribosomal RNA (915 nucleotides) under uncultured archaeon. Its description in RNAcentral is "bacterial SSU rRNA". It matches the Rfam family "Archaeal small subunit ribosomal RNA", at positions 1 to 923 of the family's 1478-position model. The record is from RNAcentral.
UUCCGGUUGAUCCUGCCGGACCUGACUGCUAUCGGAUUGAUACUAAGCCAUGCGAGUCAUUGUAGCAAUACAAGGCAGACGGCUCAGUAACGCGUAGUCAACCUAACCUAUGGACGGGAAUAACCUCGGGAAACUGAGAAUAAUGCCCGAUAGAACACUAUGCCUGGAAUGGUUUGUGUUCCAAAUGAUUUAUCGCCGUAGGAUGGGACUGCGGCCUAUCAGUUUGUUGGUGAGGUAAUGGCCCACCAAGACUAUUACAGGUACGGGCUCUGAGAGGAGUGGCCCGGAGAUGGGUACUGAGACACGGACCCAGGCCCUAUGGGGCGCAGCAGGCGAGAAAACUUUGCAAUGUGCGAAAGCACGACAAGGUUAAUCCGAGUGGUUUCUGCUAAAGGAACCUUUUGUCGGUCCUAGAAACACCGAUGAAUAAGGGGUGGGCAAGUUCUGGUGUCAGCCGCCGCGGUAAAACCAGCACCUCAAGUGGUCAGGAUGAUUAUUGGGCCUAAAGCAUCCGUAGCCUGCUUUGUUAGUUUUCGGUUAAAUCUGUACGCUCAACGUACAGGCUGCCGGGAAUACUGCAAAGCUAGGGAGUGGGAGAGGUAGACGGUACUCGGUAGGAAGGGGUAAAAUCCUUUGAUCUAUUGAUGACCACCUGUGGCGAAGGCGGUCUACCAGAACACGUCCGACGGUGAGGGAUGAAAGCUGGGGGAGCAAACCGGAUUAGAUACCCGGGUAGUCCCAGCCGUAAACCAUGCAAACUCAGUGAUGCAUUGGCUUGUGGCCAAUGCAGUGCUGCAGGGAAGCCGUUAAGUUUGCCGCCUGGGAAGUACGUACGCAAGUAUGAAACUUAAAGGAAUUGGCGGGGGAGCACCACAAGGGGUGAAGCCUGCGGUUCAAUUGGAGUCAACGCCGGGA